RNAcentral lists this ribosomal RNA (542 nucleotides) under Meyerozyma guilliermondii. RNAcentral describes it as "eukaryotic LSU rRNA". It matches the Rfam family "Eukaryotic large subunit ribosomal RNA", at positions 90 to 648 of the family's 3401-position model. The record is from RNAcentral. Lineage: Eukaryota; Fungi; Ascomycota; Pichiomycetes; Serinales; Debaryomycetaceae.
CGAGUGAAGCGGCAAAAGCUCAAAUUUGAAAUCUGGCGCCUUCGGUGUCCGAGUUGUAAUUUGAAGAUUGUAACCUUGGGGUUGGCUCUUGUCUAUGUUUCUUGGAACAGGACGUCACAGAGGGUGAGAAUCCCGUGCGAUGAGAUGCCCAAUUCUAUGUAAGGUGCUUUCGAAGAGUCGAGUUGUUUGGGAAUGCAGCUCUAAGUGGGUGGUAAAUUCCAUCUAAAGCUAAAUAUUGGCGAGAGACCGAUAGCGAACAAGUACAGUGAUGGAAAGAUGAAAAGAACUUUGAAAAGAGAGUGAAAAAGUACGUGAAAUUGUUGAAAGGGAAGGGUUUGAGAUCAGACUCGAUAUUUUGUGAGCCUUGCCUUCGUGGCGGGGUGACCCGCAGCUUAUCGGGCCAGCAUCGGUUUGGGCGGUAGGAUAAUGGCGUAGGAAUGUGACUUUACUUCGGUGAAGUGUUAUAGCCUGCGUUGAUGCUGCCUGCCUAGACCGAGGACUGCGAUUUUAUCAAGGAUGCUGGCAUAAUGAUCCCAAACCGC